Molecule: ribosomal RNA, 837 nt
Filed under: uncultured bacterium
Lineage: Bacteria
Description: bacterial SSU rRNA
Rfam family: Bacterial small subunit ribosomal RNA
Source: RNAcentral
AUUGAACGCUGGCGGCAUGCCUUACACAUGCAAGUCGAACGGCAGCACGGACUUCGGUCUGGUGGCGAGUGGCGAACGGGUGAGUAAUGUAUCGGAACGUACCUUUCAGUGGGGGAUAACGUAGCGAAAGUUACGCUAAUACCGCAUAUUCUGUGAGCAGGAAAGCAGGGGAUCGCAAGACCUUGCGCUGAUUGAGCGGCCGAUAUCAGAUUAGCUAGUUGGUGGGGUAAAGGCCUACCAAGGCGACGAUCUGUAGCGGGUCUGAGAGGAUGAUCCGCCACACUGGAACUGAGACACGGUCCAGACUCCUACGGGAGGCAGCAGUGGGGAAUUUUGGACAAUGGGGGCAACCCUGAUCCAGCCAUGCCGCGUGAGUGAAGAAGGCCUUCGGGUUGUAAAGCUCUUUCGGCCGGGAAGAAAUCGCAUGGGCUAAUACCCUGUGUGGAUGACGGUACCGGAAUAAGAAGCACCGGCUAACUACGUGCCAGCAGCCGCGGUAAUACGUAGGGUGCGAGCGUUAAUCGGAAUUACUGGGCGUAAAGCGUGCGCAGGCGGUUUAGUAAGACAGGCGUGAAAUCCCCGGGCUCAACCUGGGAACUGCGCUUGUGACUGCUAAGCUAGAGUACGGCAGAGGGGGGUGGAAUUCCACGUGUAGCAGUGAAAUGCGUAGAGAUGUGGAGGAACACCGAUGGCGAAGGCAGCCCCCUGGGCCGAUACUGACGCUCAUGCACGAAAGCGUGGGUAGCAAACAGGAUUAGAUACCCUGGUAGUCCACGCCCUAAACGAUGUCAACUAGGUGUUGGGUGGGUAAAACCAUUUAGUACCGUAGCUAACGCG